RNAcentral lists this ribosomal RNA (165 nucleotides) under Sedum hispanicum. Its description in RNAcentral is "5.8S ribosomal RNA". It matches the Rfam family "5.8S ribosomal RNA". From Rfam's summary of the family: 5.8S ribosomal RNA (5.8S rRNA) is a component of the large subunit of the eukaryotic ribosome. It is transcribed by RNA polymerase I as part of the 45S precursor that also contains 18S and 28S rRNA. RNAcentral also lists the same sequence under 1 other name. Lineage: Eukaryota; Viridiplantae; Streptophyta; Magnoliopsida; Saxifragales; Crassulaceae. The record is from RNAcentral.
AUAACGACUCUCGGCAACGGAUAUCUCGGCUCUCGCAUCGAUGAAGAACGUAGCGAAAUGCGAUACUUGGUGUGAAUUGCAGAAUCCCGUGAAUCAUCGAGUCUUUGAACGCAAGUUGCGCCCGAAGCCUUUAGGCCGAGGGCACGUCUGCCUGGGCGUCAUGCA